GUUAGAAGAGCACACAUAGAGGCUGGCGGUUGAUUACCCCUCUUUGCUGUCUAACGCAGCAGAGCUCUGAGAUGGACGUUGCGAUGCUAUGUGAGGUCUUAGUGUGCUUUGGAUCGUAUCACACAGAGGUUGUGGCUUCUGCUUCUUCUGAGGAUGCUUGAAUUUAAAGACAGAACCCAGGGAUUUUUUUUUUUUUUUUCUUUAAAGAAAUGCCUUGUAGAAGAGGACAGUUCUACAAUUGCUUGCACCAAGGACAAUUCUUUGAUAAUAUUUUAAUGUUGUUUUGGCUUCAUCUGAAUGUAAGUGCAAGGCUGAGAAAUAGACUUAAAACAACCCCAGAUUCAGUCCUGCUGAUUCAGGCACCAGAGAUGCCCUUUCCGCAUUCCCUGGAAGUUACAGUCUGGGGUUCCCUGCUCCUGUUCCCUGCUCUUCUUUACCUGAGGCCACGGAGUGGGGGCAGCUCCUCAUGGGAGGAAGAUGGCCUUCUCCUCACGAGAUCAGAAUCUGGAGAAACCCACCAGCAUCCUUUGCCUUUAGCUUCUCAAGAUUGCUGGCAGAAAUAUUAAUAACCUCAGAUAUGCAGAUGACACCACCUUUAUGGCAGAAAGCAAAGAGGUACUAAAGAGUCUCUCAAUGAAAGUGAAAGAGGAAGGUGAAAAAGCUGGCUUAAAACUCAACAUUCAAAAAACUAAGAUCAUGGCAUCUGGGCUCAUCACUUCAUGGCAAAUAGAUGGGGAAACAAUGGCAACAGUGAUAGGUUUUAUUUUCUUGGGGUCCAAAAUCACUGCAGAUGGUGAAAUUAUCCGUAGCCAUGCAGAAAUGACUGCAGCCAUGAAAUUAAAAGACCCUUGCUUCUUGGAAGAAAAGCUAUGACCAACCUAGACAGCAUAUUAAAAAGCAGAGACAUUACUUCGCCAACAACGGUUCAUCUAGUCAAAGCCAUGGUUUUUCCAGUAGUCAUGUAUGGAUGUGAGAGUUGUACUGUAAAGAAAGCUGAGCACCGAAGAACUGAUGCUUUUGAACUGUGGUGUUGGAGAAGACUCUUGAGAGUCCUUUGGACUACAAAGAGAUCAAACCAUUCACCUCUAAAGGAAAUCAGUUCUGAAUAUUCAUUGGAAGGACUGAUGCUGAAGCUGAAACUCCAAUACUUUGGCCACCUGAUGGGAGGAACUGACUCAUUGUAAAAGACCCUGAUGCUGGGCAAGAUUGAAGGCAGGAGGAGAAGGGGAUGACAGAGGAUGAGAUGGUUGGAUGGCAUCACCAAUUCAAUGGACAUGAACUUGGGCAAACUCCUGGAGAUGGUGAUGGACAGGGAAGCCUGAUGUGUUGUAGUCCAUGGUGUUGUGAAGAGUUAGAUACAACUUGGUGACUGAACAACCAGGGAGUAGAGGCUGAAGAUCUGUUUAUAAAUGUCACACUGUCUCCCUAAGGUCCAGCAGGUACACUGGAACACCUUUCAAGCCCUGGAUGAAUGUCUUGUUUGUGAGUUCAUGGUUCUCUGGGUUAUGAGGUUCACUGUUUCAUCCAUCACCUGUGGUUUAGAAGAACAAAGUGGUUGCAAUUUAA
This 1566-nucleotide long non-coding RNA is filed under the name Bos indicus x Bos taurus (hybrid cattle). RNAcentral's name for it is "lncRNA (ENSBIXG00005008317.1)". Lineage: Eukaryota; Metazoa; Chordata; Mammalia; Artiodactyla; Bovidae. The record is from RNAcentral.